AAAAAGAUAAGCUAAAUUAAGCUUUUGGGUUCAUACCCCAAAUAUAAAGUUCCACUUUUCUUUUUA
Molecule: transfer RNA, 66 nt
Filed under: Photinus pyralis (common eastern firefly)
Lineage: Eukaryota; Metazoa; Arthropoda; Insecta; Coleoptera; Lampyridae
Description: tRNA-Met
Source: RNAcentral